GGGGAUGAUCGGUUUCGACAUUGCCUGUGAGACUGUGAGAAGCGGGCCGAGGAUCCAGGGUUAUCUCGUAAACGAUCUCUGGAAAACACAAGUGCCAAUUCAAAGCGCACUGACUUCGCUCUCGCUGCCUAGGCAGUAGAGCCCAUAAGUCCGUCAGACCGGGUUAGACCUCGCCCCGGACCCUGACGUCAUCUAGAGGACUGGCUGCGUAUCGACGCCUCGAGCGAUACGUGGGACUUGCACUCAGGCUGGGCCCGUCCACCUAGACGCCUGUGGCAAAGGUGGGGGCCGAGUAGAACGACUUCGCAGGAUACGCCCGUAGAAGGCAUGGAAUCUCAGCAGUGGACCCGGGUUCAAUUCCCGGCAUCUCCACCU
Leifsonia sp. Root60 is the source of this 375-nucleotide non-coding RNA. It matches the Rfam family "transfer-messenger RNA". From Rfam's summary of the family: Bacterial tmRNA, also known as 10Sa RNA or SsrA, is named for its dual tRNA and mRNA-like properties. Its role is to liberate the mRNA from a stalled ribosome. To accomplish this part of the tmRNA is used as a reading frame that ends in a translation stop signal. The record is from Rfam. NCBI's taxonomy places the organism in Bacteria, Bacillati, Actinomycetota, Actinomycetes, Micrococcales, Microbacteriaceae.